AACGUACGCUGGCGGCACGCCUAACACAUGCAAGUCGAACGCAGUAGCAAUACUGAGUGGCAAACGGGUGAGUAUAAUGUGGGAAUCUGCCUUUUGGUUUGGAAUAACACGGGGAAACUUGUGCUAAUACCGAAUAAGCCUUUACAGGGAAAGUUUUAAUGCCGAAAGAUGAGCCCGCACUUGAUUAGCUAGUUGGUAAGGUAAAAGCUUACCAAGGCAAUGAUCAAUAGCUGUUCUUAGAGGAAGACCAGCCACAUUGGGACUGAGACACGGCCCAGACUCCUACGGGAGGCAGCAGUGGGGAAUCUUGCACAAUGGGGGAAACCCUGAUGCAGCGAUGCCGCGUGAGUGAAGAAGGCCCUUGGGUUGUAAAACUCUUUCGUCGGGGAAGAAAAUGACUGUACCCGAAUAAGAAGGUCCGGCUAACUUCGUG
Molecule: ribosomal RNA, 433 nt
Filed under: uncultured bacterium
Lineage: Bacteria
Description: bacterial SSU rRNA
Rfam family: Bacterial small subunit ribosomal RNA
Source: RNAcentral